GGAUGGCAAAAAUGAUGAUUCAAUUACAUGUGUGAAGGAUACCAUUCCUGUUGAACACAUUUUAAAGCUUAUUGAUAUCCUGAUUUGCCAAGU
Beta vulgaris subsp. vulgaris (sugar beet) is the source of this 93-nucleotide small nucleolar RNA. It matches the Rfam family "Small nucleolar RNA Z266". From Rfam's summary of the family: Z266 is a member of the C/D class of snoRNA which contain the C (UGAUGA) and D (CUGA) box motifs. Most of the members of the box C/D family function in directing site-specific 2'-O-methylation of substrate RNAs. The record is from Rfam. Lineage: Eukaryota; Viridiplantae; Streptophyta; Magnoliopsida; Caryophyllales; Amaranthaceae.